This 401-nucleotide ribosomal RNA is filed under the name uncultured Myrionecta. RNAcentral describes it as "bacterial SSU rRNA". It matches the Rfam family "Eukaryotic small subunit ribosomal RNA", at positions 34 to 497 of the family's 1831-position model. The record is from RNAcentral. Lineage: Eukaryota; Ciliophora; Litostomatea; Cyclotrichida; Mesodiniidae.
AAUGUUAAGAUAAGCCAUGCACGUCUAAGUACAAACUAAAUGAUGGUGAAACUGCAAAUGGCUCAUUACAACGGUUAUGAUGUACCCGGGAGUUCCGAUGGAUAUUUCCAGUAACACUAGAACUAAUACAUGUCCCUGCGUUUAUUAGUUUCGCACAGUCCGUCGCUGAGUCAUGGUAAACAGUUGAUCGACUCGACGUCCCGGAACAGUUUCCGCCCCAUCAGCUUCGAUGGUUGGGUAUUGGCCUACCAUUGCAACAACGGGUAACGAGGAAUUAGGGUUUGAUUUCGGAGAGGGAGCCUGAAAAAAGGCUACCACAUCUACGGAUGGCACCAGGCGCGCAAAUUCCCACCAGCACACCCUGUGACGCAUGACAAACAAAAAUUAAAGCGAGACUUUCC